CAGAGUAGACCAUGACGCGUGAAGUGUCCGGCGGACGGGGAGUUGUCGCCGGAACGAAAGAAUCCUAAGGAUUACUGCGGUGUCAGGGUCGCAUCCCGCUG
RNAcentral lists this non-coding RNA (101 nucleotides) under human gut metagenome. RNAcentral describes it as "THF riboswitch". It matches the Rfam family "THF (Tetrahydrofolate) riboswitch aptamer". From Rfam's summary of the family: THF riboswitch presents a pseudoknot that joins P1-P2 and the loop of P3 and two THF binding. The record is from RNAcentral. RNAcentral also lists the same sequence under 1 other name.